AGGAUAUCCUGUGCUAAUUUUCAUGUUGAUUUCGGCACAUCACUCGUCUAUUUCCUCUCAAUUAACAAGAAAAAUUAUAUCGAUUUCGGUGAACUUAAAAUAUUUCCCUUAAGUUGUCUUACACUCUAAUCUUGAUCCAGGGACUAAAUCAAACAUUUUUACCUUUAGUCCUUUUACAAGGGACUUUCUCAAAAGUUACAAUUUAUAAUGUAUGCCAUAUGGGUGGGCCAAUACUUUAUCAUAGUAACACCAUACAAUUAAAGUGUUCUGAGGUCUAUAUGUUUGUAAUUGAAGUUGUUGGUAUGAAUUUUGUGGACAAAGAUUAUUUUAUUUCUGCAGUGUUAAGGUUAAGUUUUAACCUACACAAAAUUAUUUACAUUAUAUGUGGGUUUUUUUUAUAAUUUGUUAAUAUUUUU
This 416-nucleotide long non-coding RNA is filed under the name Mytilus galloprovincialis (Mediterranean mussel). The record is from RNAcentral. Lineage: Eukaryota; Metazoa; Mollusca; Bivalvia; Mytilida; Mytilidae.